Molecule: ribosomal RNA, 615 nt
Filed under: Atherigona theodori
Lineage: Eukaryota; Metazoa; Arthropoda; Insecta; Diptera; Muscidae
Description: partial 12S ribosomal RNA
Rfam family: tRNA (bases 387-458)
Source: RNAcentral
UAAAAAAUUUGGCGGUAUUUUAGUCUAUUCAGAGGAACCUGUUCUGUAAUCGAUAAUCCACGAUGGACCUUACUUAAAUUUGUUUUCAGUUUAUAUACCGUCGUUAUUAGAAUAUUUUAUAAGAAUAUUAAUUUUCAUAAUUUUAUAUUUGAAAAUAUAUCAGAUCAAGGUGUAGCUAAUAUUUAAGUAGAAAUGGGUUACAAUAAAAUUAUUUAAAUGAAUUUAAAUAUGAAAUAUAUUUAUUGAAAUUGGAUUUGAUAGUAAAAUUAUAUAGAUAAAUAAUUUGAUUUUAGCUCUAAAAUAUGUACACAUCGCCCGUCACUCUUAUUAUUAAGAUAAGAUAAGUCGUAACAUAGUAGAUGUACUGGAAAGUGUAUCUAGAAUGACAAUUUAAAGCUUAUUUAGUAAAGCAUUUCAUUUACAUUGAAAAGAUUUUUGUGCAAAUCAAUAUAAAUUGAUAUAUUUUAUUUAUUAAUUUUUUUUUAUGUAAAUUUAUUAAAAAUAAUUAUAAAUUUUUUAGUUUUAGUAUUUUAUAAAGAAAAAAUAAUUUUUAUUAUAGUUUAAUAGUAUUGUGAAAGAAAAUUGAAAUAAUUUGAAAAAUUAUUAAUUAAAAAG